This 45-nucleotide ribosomal RNA is filed under the name Amylostereum orientale. RNAcentral describes it as "partial 28S ribosomal RNA". The record is from RNAcentral. Lineage: Eukaryota; Fungi; Basidiomycota; Agaricomycetes; Russulales; Stereaceae.
UUGACCUCAAAUCAGGUGGGACUACCCGCUGAACUUAAGCAUAUC